GAGUUUGAUCCUGGCUCAGGACGAACGGCUGGCGGCGUGCUUAACACAUGCAAGUCGAACGAUGAACCACUUCGGUGGGGAUUAGUGGCGAACGGGUGAGUAACACGUGGGCAAUCUGCCCUGCACUCUGGGACAAGCCCUGGAAACGGGGUCUAAUACCGGAUACUGACCCGCCUGGGCAUCCAGGCGGUUCGAAAGCUCCGGCGGUGCAGGAUGAGCCCGCGGCCUAUCAGCUUGUUGGUGAGGUAACGGCUCACCAAGGCGACGACGGGUAGCCGGCCUGAGAGGGCGACCGGCCACACUGGGACUGAGACACGGCCCAGACUCCUACGGGAGGCAGCAGUGGGGAAUAUUGCACAAUGGGCGCAAGCCUGAUGCAGCGACGCCGCGUGAGGGAUGACGGCCUUCGGGUUGUAAACCUCUUUCAGCAGGGAAGAAGCGCAAGUGACGGUACCUGCAGAAGAAGCGCCGGCUAACUACGUGCCAGCAGCCGCGGUAAUACGUAGGGCGCGAGCGUUGUCCGGAAUUAUUGGGCGUAAAGAGCUCGUAGGCGGCUUGUCGCGUCGGUUGUGAAAGCCCGGGGCUUAACCCCGGGUCUGCAGUCGAUACGGGCAGGCUAGAGUUCGGUAGGGGAGAUCGGAAUUCCUGGUGUAGCGGUGAAAUGCGCGAGAUAUCAGGAGGAACACCGGUGGCGAAGGCGGAUCUCUGGGCCGAUACUGACGCUGAGGAGCGAAAGCGUGGGGAGCGAACAGGAUUAGAUACCCUGGUAGUCCACGCCGUAAACGGUGGGCACUAGGUGUGGGCGACAUUCCACGUCGUCCGUGCCGCAGCUAACGCAUAAGUGC
Molecule: ribosomal RNA, 845 nt
Filed under: Streptomyces atrovirens
Lineage: Bacteria; Bacillati; Actinomycetota; Actinomycetes; Kitasatosporales; Streptomycetaceae
Description: bacterial SSU rRNA
Rfam family: Bacterial small subunit ribosomal RNA
Source: RNAcentral